This 253-nucleotide ribosomal RNA is filed under the name uncultured bacterium. RNAcentral's name for it is "partial 16S ribosomal RNA". It matches the Rfam family "Bacterial small subunit ribosomal RNA", at positions 524 to 776 of the family's 1533-position model. The record is from RNAcentral.
UACGUAGGGGGCAAGCGUUGUCCGGAUUUAUUGGGCGUAAAGAGCGUGUAGGCGGCCUGACAGGUCUGCUGUGAAAACUCGAGGCUCAACCUCGAGAUGUCGGCGGAAACCGUCUGGCUAGAGUCCGGAAGAGGAGAGUGGAAUUCCUGGUGUAGCGGUGAAAUGCGCAGAUAUCUGGAGGAACACCGGUGGCGAAGGCGGCAUCCUGGACCGGUAUUGACGCUGAUGCGCGAAAGCCAGGGGAGCAAACGGG